RNAcentral lists this long non-coding RNA (1164 nucleotides) under Panax ginseng (ginseng). RNAcentral's name for it is "long non-coding RNA (PGIN_LNC016664)". The record is from RNAcentral. Lineage: Eukaryota; Viridiplantae; Streptophyta; Magnoliopsida; Apiales; Araliaceae.
UUAGAAUAUUUUAAUAUUAUAUAUUCAUUUUGUUCAACUAUACUGACAAUAUGUAAGAUAUGUGGGGCCCUCUUAUUAAAAUAGAAGCCAGGUAAAUAUUUAGGCACAACAACCUGUGCCGGCUUGUCCAAAAAACAAUCCAAUCUCAGUCUUCAAAUCAAUUGAUCAACGGUCCGAAAAGGGGUUGUUGCCACAGUGUCUAUGGCAACCGGUUGCCAUGGAUGGAUUCUCUCUCUCUAUAUAUAUAUAUGGGGAAUGAUCCAUAACAUCUAUAUGCUAUGGAAUAAAAAGUGGCAUAUAACAUCUAUACCAUCCAUCUAAUUAAUGAAUGGCUGUGAUAUUAUUGAGAGAAAACCCGUCGCUAGACUUAUUAGCGGACAUAUUAAGUAAUUUUUCCAGACGCUAUUGCCCCCUGUUAGCACUGCUGACCACUUGAAAAUAACAUCAUCCGCUAUAGUACAUCAUACACGAACAGCAACAUACUACACCAUACUACACAGGUAGCUUCAUCAUACAACUCCUGCAACAUUCAUCAUACAAGAAAUGAUCCAAUUAACCAAGGGCAAAAAUGAUCCAAUUAACCAAGGGCAAAAAAAUUAACGAAGGCAGAGGAUUGGAUCCCAUAAUGAUCCAAUUAACCAAGGGCAAAAAAUGACACGAAGGCAGAGGAUUGGAUCCCUUAAUGAUCACCAAGGGCAAAAAAUGAAACCCCAGCAAGUAUGGCAGUACCCCAGGCGUGGGAAUACCACUUGCUGUACUGCUUAAUCGCAAACUUCCAUUGUUCCCGGAGGGUGGCAGGGUCCGAGUUCGUGGGGUCCGGGGGAUUGAGGUGACGGGGCUUCUGGCCACUCGAAUACCCGCUUGUACUGCUACCCUUUUCGCCUAAGGCCCUAGAACUUGAAGAAAAGAAUAAGAAGAAGGUAAAUUGUUUUGGGUAGAAUUAGUGUUAUCGUGAUUUCCAGCUGUUUGUGUAUGAUGUGGGAUGGAUCCAUCCGCUAGACUUACUAGCGGAUGAUGUUAUUUCCAAGUGGUCAACAGUGCUUAGCAGGUCGGCAGUUAAAAAUUACUUAAUACGUCCGCUAGUAAGUCUAGCGGACGGGUUUUCUCUGAAUAAUAUCACAAUCAUUCAUUAAUUAGAUGGAUGAUAUAGAUGUUAUAUACCAC